RNAcentral lists this non-coding RNA (23 nucleotides) under Mus musculus (house mouse). The record is from RNAcentral. Lineage: Eukaryota; Metazoa; Chordata; Mammalia; Rodentia; Muridae.
GGCAAUGUUUCUCUAAAACCAGA